GGUGGGAAGGAGGACAUCCGGGAAUGUCCUCCAGGCUUGAUCAGGACAGCUU
This 52-nucleotide small RNA is filed under the name Sinorhizobium meliloti 2011. Its description in RNAcentral is "putative ncRNA". The record is from RNAcentral. Lineage: Bacteria; Pseudomonadati; Pseudomonadota; Alphaproteobacteria; Hyphomicrobiales; Rhizobiaceae.